UGUAUAUUUAUUUAUUUUUAUAUAUUUACUCUUAGGGUCAACCUACGUAAUUUACUGGUAAGAGUCCUUAUCAAAAAUAUUUUCUAAAAUGUAAGUGAUAAACAUUAUUUCCUUUAUUAAUUACAUUCCUUUAUUAAUUAUUUACUAUAGCAAAAAUCAAUUAUUUUUUUAGCCUACUGUAAAAACAAGUUAUAAUUAAUUAUGGUUUAAAAAGUUUUUUCUCGUUAUUCGAUCAUUUUUAUGAUAAAAAUUACUAUACAUAUAUUCUGAAAUUUCCCAUUCAAUAUUUAUAUUUCAAAAACUUGAUAAAAAUUUAAAAAAUUUUGAAAGUAAAGGUACUUCAUAUGUUUUCGAGUGAACUGAAUUUAAUAUAGUGCUGUAAUUAAGUGAGACAAUAAUUUUUGAAAGUUUCGCAAGGAUAAAAAAAAAGAAUAUGAGGAAGUCUAUUUUGAAGUAUAUCAAUUUGAAGGAAAAAAUUUUAAAUUGUUGGAUAUUCAUUAGGAUUGUCAAAAUGAAA
Long non-coding RNA from Cotesia glomerata, 517 nucleotides. RefSeq lists it as uncharacterized. Lineage: Eukaryota; Metazoa; Arthropoda; Insecta; Hymenoptera; Braconidae. The transcript is spliced from 3 exons. The record is from RefSeq and is a predicted model, not a curated record.